GAUGAACGCUGGCGGCGUGCCUAAUACAUGCAAGUCGAGCGAACAGACGAGGAGCUUGCUCCUUCGACGUUAGCGGCGGACGGGUGAGUAACACGUAGGUAACCUACCUAUAAGACUGGGAUAACUUCGGGAAACCGGAGCUAAUACCGGAUAAUAUUUCGAACCGCAUGGUUCGAUAGUGAAAGAUGGCUUUGCUAUCACUUAUAGAUGGACCUGCGCCGUAUUAGCUAGUUGGUAAGGUAACGGCUUACCAAGGCAAUGAUACGUAGCCGACCUGAGAGGGUGAUCGGCCACACUGGAACUGAGACACGGUCCAGACUCCUACGGGAGGCAGCAGUAGGGAAUCUUCCGCAAUGGGCGAAAGCCUGACGGAGCAACGCCGCGUGAGUGAUGAAGGUCUUCGGAUCGUAAAACUCUGUUAUUAGGGAAGAACAAACGUGUAAGUAACUGUGCACGUCUUGACGGUACCUAAUCAGAAAGCCACGGCUAACUACGUG
RNAcentral lists this ribosomal RNA (497 nucleotides) under uncultured bacterium. Its description in RNAcentral is "partial 16S ribosomal RNA". It matches the Rfam family "Bacterial small subunit ribosomal RNA", at positions 28 to 507 of the family's 1533-position model. The record is from RNAcentral.